Long non-coding RNA from Zingiber officinale, 295 nucleotides. RefSeq lists it as uncharacterized. The record is from RefSeq and is a predicted model, not a curated record. The transcript is spliced from 3 exons. NCBI's taxonomy places the organism in Eukaryota, Viridiplantae, Streptophyta, Magnoliopsida, Zingiberales, Zingiberaceae.
UUUCUCCAUCAUUUAAUGGAUCCUAGUUCCAAAAAAAUCUCUGUGAUGGAAUUUGACGUUUCAAAGGUUCUUGAAGAGCUAAGACUCACUAUGGAUCAGUUCAUUGAUUUGUGUAUUCUCUCUGGAUGUGAUUAUUGUGAUAACAUUAAAGGUCGGGCAAUUCGUGAGGUUUGAGUUUUUUUGAUACAAGAAGUGAGCUUUGUUAGCAUGUAGCUUGCCUUGCUAAUUUGUAAAUUAAAAGCGUGCCAUAUGGAGAACAACAAAUGGAAAACAUGUGAUUUAAUGUAUAUGGAGA